UGGUGAGCUACAAGGAAUGCCUCAAGAACCAUGCAGCCACUUUGGGUGGACAUGCUUUAGACGGCUGUGGUGAAUUCAUGCCUUCCCCAUCAGCCACCCCAUCCGACCCAACUUCCCUCAAGUGUGCAGCUUGUGGUUGCCACCGCAACUUCCACCGCCGAGAAUCAGAUGACCCACCACCCACAACAACAGCCACCGCUACUAUUGAAUAUCAGCCUCACCACCGUCACCAUCCACCGCCUCCAGCAAGUCAAGCACCACAUCGUAGUCCAAACUCAGCUUCC
RNAcentral lists this long non-coding RNA (284 nucleotides) under Gossypium barbadense (sea-island cotton). RNAcentral describes it as "long non-coding RNA (GBAR_LNC007890)". Lineage: Eukaryota; Viridiplantae; Streptophyta; Magnoliopsida; Malvales; Malvaceae. The record is from RNAcentral.